CAAAACCAAAUAUAGCUUGGAAUGGAAAAUACAUAACAUUUAGGGCUAAAAGUAGAAACAGACCCCAAAACCUUUCAUUUCUAUCCAACCUCAACCUAAACUCACAAGAAUCCAACAUCCUCAACAUUUGGACAGCAUUUCCCCUAAAAUUUCAGAUUUUUCAUCCUACAAACAACCAUUUAAAUUCAUCCAAAACAACCACAAGUACACAUACAAAUCAUAAGCUAUUCAACACACCUCAUUAGGGUUACAAUACCCCUCAAUCUUAGCCAAUUAGAAGCUCAACAACCAACCAUAAUAAAGCCCUAAUUAGAAGCCCUAAAACUGAAAUUUUCCGCACAAAACUGAAAUUUUUCGCAAGCAAUCGCAAUAAACGCACAAAGGCUCCAUUUAACACAAUUUAGAGCUAUCAAUCCAAGGCCAACCAUAUCCAUCAUAUGAAAACAGAAAAAUCCCUAAAAAAUCUGAAAUUUAUCUAACUCCACUUUAAUCCAUGAAAUCUUCCAUAAAACAACCUAUUUAGCCACUACAAGUCACUAAUUUACCAUUAUUAGGAACAAAAAGUGAGUUUCCAAGCAAAAUACCUUGACACCUCAAGAAAGGUAGUAGCUUAGGGGUUCCUCC
RNAcentral lists this long non-coding RNA (624 nucleotides) under Coffea arabica (coffee). RNAcentral's name for it is "long non-coding RNA (CARA_LNC002567)". Lineage: Eukaryota; Viridiplantae; Streptophyta; Magnoliopsida; Gentianales; Rubiaceae. The record is from RNAcentral.